This 70-nucleotide transfer RNA is filed under the name Galaxias sp. 'southern' (southern flathead galaxias). RNAcentral's name for it is "tRNA-Arg". It matches the Rfam family "tRNA". From Rfam's summary of the family: Transfer RNA (tRNA) molecules are approximately 80 nucleotides in length. Their secondary structure includes four short double-helical elements and three loops (D, anti-codon, and T loops). Lineage: Eukaryota; Metazoa; Chordata; Actinopteri; Galaxiiformes; Galaxiidae. The record is from RNAcentral.
AGGUCGUUAGUCCAAGAUAAGACCUCUGAUUUCGGCUCAGAUGAUUAUGGUUUGAGUCCAUGACUGCCUU